UGGUGCAUAAUAUUCCAUAAGACAUGUUACUAAUGAUUUGGAACUAGUAUCUAAUCUGAACUGUAUGAUUAAUUAGUUGGGAAAUGUUAGCCAGUUUUGUAAAUUGGUCAAACUAAUAGCAGCUUGAUCCUUGAUAUGAGUAUGGCUCCAAAAAGAAAUUGAACUAAAUCUUUUGGUGGGUUAUUUUACAACCAAAUGAUGAUGAAGCAUCCUGAUUUAAAUUUGGUUACAUAAUUAUUGAUUUAAGGAGUAAUCUACCUUACCAAACAUUUGAUAUGUUAAGGUCAUAAAAUUAUGGAAGGAAAAUUCAAGCUGUCUCAAGUAUCUUGCCAGAGGAAGGUGAAAGUUACCCAGCAUCAAAUGGAGAACAGAGAAACAUCAAAAGUGAAAGAAAAAAAAAACCAAAAAAGAGGAGGAAAAUAGAGAAAUAAAUAUCUUUGAUUGACAUGGUACAAUUCCCUGAUCUUUUAAAAGGUGGGACCCUGCAAGACAAAAUUGCUGAAUCAGACUAAAGGAUGGAGGGAAGGGCUGUAUACCAGUCAUCUGCAAUCCAUUAACGGUAAUCAGUGAGUUACCUGCUGCUGCUUCCCUCUCUCUACUAGGUAGGUACUCUCUCCUUAUUCAUUCUUCAUUUAAAAGAUAAGUUCUUUUAUUAGAUUUGUGCUUUCUUUUGCUGCUAGCCCAAAACCAUUCUGAGUAAGCAAAGACCAGAAAAAGAGAGAAAAAAGUAAAGGCGCCUCAUAUAAGAGAUAAAGCAAUUUAAUUUAAUUUAGCCUCAUGCGUUUAAUGCUCAAAUUAAUCAUCUUUUUCCCCUUUUCUUGGAUUUAUUUGGGUUUGUUUUAUUUUGUUGUGUGCUCAUGCGAACAACAUUGCAG
This 875-nucleotide long non-coding RNA is filed under the name Prunus persica (peach). Its description in RNAcentral is "long non-coding RNA (PPER_LNC005541)". The record is from RNAcentral. Lineage: Eukaryota; Viridiplantae; Streptophyta; Magnoliopsida; Rosales; Rosaceae.